AUCAUGAUUUACAUUUGAGUGAGUGGCGAACUGGUGAGUAACACGUGGGAAACCUGCCCAGAAGCGGGGGAUAACACCUGGAAACAGAUGCUAAUACCGCAUAACAACUUGGACCGCAUGGUCCGAGUUUGAAAGAUGGCUUCGGCUAUCACUUUUGGAUGGUCCCGCGGCGUAUUAGCUAGAUGGUGGGGUAACGGCUCACCAUGGCAAUGAUACGUAGCCGACCUGAGAGGGUAAUCGGCCACAUUGGGACUGAGACACGGCCCAAACUCCUACGGGAGGCAGCAGUAGGGAAUCUUCCACAAUGGACGAAAGUCUGAUGGAGCAACGCCGCGUGAGUGAAGAAGGGUUUCGGCUCGUAAAACUCUGUUGUUAAAGAAGAACAUAUCUGAGAGUAACUGUUCAGGUAUUGACGGUAUUUAACCAGAAAGCCACGGCUAACUACGUGCCAGCAGCCGCGGUAAUACGUAGGUGGCAAGCGUUGUCCGGAUUUAUUGGGCGUAAAGCGAGCGCAGGCGGUUUUUUAAGUCUGAUGUGAAAGCCUUCGGCUCAACCGAAGAAGUGCAUCGGAAACUGGGAAACUUGAGUGCAGAAGAGGACAGUGGAACUCCAUGUGUAGCGGUGAAAUGCGUAGAUAUAUGGAAGAACACCAGUGGCGAAGGCGGCUGUCUGGUCUGUAACUGACGCUGAGGCUCGAAAGUAUGGGUAGCAAACAGGAUUAGAUACCCUGGUAGUCCAUACCGUAAACGAUGAAUGCUAAGUGUUGGAGGGUUUCCGCCCUUCAGUGCUGCAGCUAACGCAUUAAGCAUUCCGCCUGGGGAGUACGGCCGCAAGGCUGAAACUCAAAGGAAUUGACGGGGGCCCGCACAAGCGGUGGAGCAUGUGGUUUAAUUCGAAGCUACGCGAAGAACCUUACCAGGUCUUGACAUACUAUGCAAAUCUAAGAGAUUAGACGUUCCCUUCGGGGACAUGGAUACAGGUGGUGCAUGGUUGUCGUCAGCUCGUGUCGUGAGAUGUUGGGUUAAGUCCCGCAACGAGCGCAACCCUUAUUAUCAGUUGCCAGCAUUAAGUUGGGCACUCUGGUGAGACUGCCGGUGACAAACCGGAGGAAGGUGGGGAUGACGUCAAAUCAUCAUGCCCCUUAUGACCUGGGCUACACACGUGCUACAAUGGAUGGUACAACGAGUUGCGAACUCGCGAGAGUAAGCUAAUCUCUUAAAGCCAUUCUCAGUUCGGAUUGUAGGCUGCAACUCGCCUACAUGAAGUCGGAAUCGCUAGUAAUCGCGGAUCAGCAUGCCGCGGUGAAUACGUUCCCGGGCCUUGUACACACCGCCCGUCACACCAUGAGAGUUUGUAA
Molecule: ribosomal RNA, 1357 nt
Filed under: Lactiplantibacillus plantarum
Lineage: Bacteria; Bacillati; Bacillota; Bacilli; Lactobacillales; Lactobacillaceae
Description: bacterial SSU rRNA
Rfam family: Bacterial small subunit ribosomal RNA
Source: RNAcentral